This 253-nucleotide ribosomal RNA is filed under the name uncultured bacterium. RNAcentral's name for it is "partial 16S ribosomal RNA". It matches the Rfam family "Bacterial small subunit ribosomal RNA", at positions 524 to 776 of the family's 1533-position model. The record is from RNAcentral.
GACGAACCGUCCAAACGUUAUUCGGAAUCACUGGGCUUAAAGGGUGCGUAGGCGGUCCGGGAAGUUGGGUGUGAAAGCCCUCGGCUCAACCGAGGAACUGCGUCCAAAACUGCCGGACUUGAGGGAGACAUAGGUGAGCGGAACUUAGGGUGGAGCGGUGAAAUGCGUUGAGAUCCUAAGGAACACCAGUAGCGAAAGCGGCUCACUGGGUCUCUUCUGACGCUGAUGCACGAAAGCUAGGGGAGCGAAGAGG